This 76-nucleotide transfer RNA is filed under the name Bacillota bacterium. Its description in RNAcentral is "tRNA-Lys". It matches the Rfam family "tRNA". Rfam says of the family: Transfer RNA (tRNA) molecules are approximately 80 nucleotides in length. Their secondary structure includes four short double-helical elements and three loops (D, anti-codon, and T loops). Further hydrogen bonds mediate the characteristic L-shaped molecular structure. tRNAs have two regions of fundamental functional importance: the anti-codon, which is responsible for specific mRNA codon recognition, and the 3' end, to which the tRNAs corresponding amino acid is attached (by aminoacyl-tRNA synthetases). tRNAs cope with the degeneracy of the genetic code in two manners: having more than one tRNA (with a specific anti-codon) for a particular amino acid; and 'wobble' base-pairing, i.e. permitting non-standard base-pairing at the 3rd anti-codon position. The record is from RNAcentral. Lineage: Bacteria; Bacillati; Bacillota.
GCGCCACUAGCUCAGUUGGUAGAGCAGCUGACUCUUAAUCAGCGGGUCCAGAGUUCGAGUCUCUGGUGGCGCACCA